RNAcentral lists this non-coding RNA (93 nucleotides) under human gut metagenome. RNAcentral describes it as "THF riboswitch". It matches the Rfam family "THF (Tetrahydrofolate) riboswitch aptamer". Rfam says of the family: THF riboswitch presents a pseudoknot that joins P1-P2 and the loop of P3 and two THF binding. The record is from RNAcentral.
GCAGAGUAGACAUCGCGCGUCAAGUGCCAGGAGAUGGGAAGUUGCUCCUGGACGAAAGGUUUCGCCCUGCGGUGUAGAUGUCGCAUUCCGCUG